CGUGUAGGCGGUUUGGCAAGUCGAGUGUGAAAUCCCACGGCUCAACCGUGGAACUGCGCUCGAAACUGCCUUACUUGAGUGCGGGAGAGGUGUGCGGAAUUCCUGGUGUAGCGGUGGAAUGCGUAGAUAUCAGGAAGAACACCGGUGGCGAAGGCGGCACACUGGCUCAGCACUGACGCUGAGGCGCGAAAGCGUGGGGAGCGAACG
This 207-nucleotide ribosomal RNA is filed under the name uncultured bacterium. RNAcentral's name for it is "partial 16S ribosomal RNA". It matches the Rfam family "Bacterial small subunit ribosomal RNA", at positions 568 to 774 of the family's 1533-position model. The record is from RNAcentral.